This 641-nucleotide long non-coding RNA is filed under the name Homo sapiens (human). RNAcentral describes it as "long non-coding RNA NONHSAT220319". Lineage: Eukaryota; Metazoa; Chordata; Mammalia; Primates; Hominidae. The record is from RNAcentral.
GUGGCACUAUAGCCAGGUUCCGGCUGUAUCCGCUGCCAUCCUCCUCCAGGCGCGGCCUCGGAGGGCCUCCUGCUCCUCCUGGCGCUAGGAGAGCCCCACUCGGUGUGGCACGGAGACACCGAGGUGGAUUAGAGCCCCACUUGGUGUGGCACGGAGACAUUGAGAUGGACUAGAGCCCCGGGCGGCCGAGAGCGGAAUGCGUUGUUCCCGGUGUCGCAGGGCUGGGUGUCGCAGGCCUGGAGCACCGCAGUGCGGGGCUCGGAGCCCUAGCGUCUCUCGGGCUUGCUGGGGGCCGCUCCAGAGGCCUUGUGAGCGACGAGUUCUGAGCCCGCCCCUGUUGCUUCUAGAGCCUGUGGGGCCGCGACUCAGAGGAGUCAUGAGUCCGGGGUGUCUCCUGGGUGGGCGACGCGAAGAGAGCGUGGUCUCGGGCUUAGCCUUGCUCUGGCCACUCGGGGUUCCCGGGGCUGCAUGCUUGUGCGGCUGAAUGUGAGAUGCUCCUGUCGAGGGGUGGUGCUGGGGGGUUGCAGAAAGCUGCUCGCCAGCUUAGUUCAGGCAGGUGCUGUCAGCGUCCCUUGUUUUGGAGGAGCCAGCCUGAGCCCUACCCCCGACGAAGCGAGUGGAGGCGGCGGUUUAACUGACGU